UAAAGUGGGAAGAUGCCAAUAAGGGUCCUUGCUCCUUGAGUAUGUGAUCCUGACACCCAGAGAUGCUAAGCCCAAAUGCCCUCAGAAGUCAGGCAGGGAAGGAGAAUAUGUGGAGUAACAUCGUCGUGAUUGGUAUAUGCAAAGACCUCCUGAAAUUACAGGAGCAAACUCCUUCCGCAUCUCGACCUAAUUAAGAUCCGUUACUCAACAGUGAUCAGUCAGAUUUUACUGUAAGAAGGAAGAAAACAAGGAUCCUGCUAGAACAACAUGGAAACAGGACCUACAACAAAGAGAUUUCUCACUGGCUUCCUGGUGGUUCAUUCAAUAGGGAAUUCCUGCAGCAAGUUGGAGGGAGGGAGGAGAAGCAGGGAGGCCACCUCCUGUCAAAGCUGGGACAUCUGAGAGACAGUGGUCACACAACAACUCAACUGCAUGUGCACCUAAAACAGUAGCUUAUUUUCUCUGAC
Homo sapiens (human) is the source of this 467-nucleotide long non-coding RNA. Ensembl annotates it as long intergenic non-protein coding RNA 1147. The record is from Ensembl. Lineage: Eukaryota; Metazoa; Chordata; Mammalia; Primates; Hominidae.